UGAACGGGAAGUAAAAUUGUACGCUCAGUAUAACUCAGUGGUAUUUCUAUAAUCCGAGCAAUUUAGACGUGAUAUAAGUAAUUAAAAAAUAGGAAUGCAACAAGUAAUAUUAUGAACAUAUGCUUGAGAUCAAUAAUAUAAUUUUGCUUAUUCUUUAUUCACAUCCACUAGAUUCCACAGGUUUUAGUACAUGGCAAUGGCAUUUGAUAUAUUUCAACCCAUGCAAUAGCAUGAUUCAUCUCUUUGAUCAAUACUUGAAUUCAUUUCAAAAUUCACAUCUCAUAUCAUCAUUUCAUAUUUCAUUUCUCAUCUUUGCCAUCUCAAUAUCAAAU
RNAcentral lists this long non-coding RNA (332 nucleotides) under Gossypium barbadense (sea-island cotton). Its description in RNAcentral is "long non-coding RNA (GBAR_LNC012569)". Lineage: Eukaryota; Viridiplantae; Streptophyta; Magnoliopsida; Malvales; Malvaceae. The record is from RNAcentral.